GUGUCAGCCGCCGCGGUAAUACGUAGGCAGCAAGCGUUGUUCGGAGUUACUGGGCGUAAAGGGUGCGUAGGCGGUUUGCCAAGUUUGGUGUGAAAUCUCCCGGCUUAACUGGGAGGGUGCGCCGAAAACUGGCAGACUAGAGUGGGGGAGAGGAGAGUGGAAUUCCUGGUGUAGCGGUGAAAUGCGUAGAUAUCAGGAGGAACACCGGUGGUGUAGACGGCUCUCUGGACCCUAACUGACGCUGAGGCACGAAAGCGUGGGUAGCAAACAGGAUUAGAUACCCUCGUAGUCC
RNAcentral lists this ribosomal RNA (292 nucleotides) under uncultured bacterium. Its description in RNAcentral is "partial 16S ribosomal RNA". It matches the Rfam family "Bacterial small subunit ribosomal RNA", at positions 505 to 796 of the family's 1533-position model. The record is from RNAcentral.